UGGGGAAUAUUGGACAAUGGGCGCAAGCCUGAUCCAGCAAUGCCGCGUGUGUGAAGAAGGCUUUCGGGUUGUAAAGCACUUUCGGUGGGGAGAAAGAGGCUGGUACGAAUAGUGCUAGCGGAAGAUGUUACCCACAGAAGAAGCACCGGCUAACUCUGUGCCAGCAGCCGCGGUAAUACAGAGGGUGCGAGCGUUAAUCGGAAUUACUGGGCGUAAAGGGUGCGUAGGUGGUUUGGUAAGUUAGGUGUGAAAGUCCUGGGCUCAACCUGGGGAUUGCGCCUAAAACUGUUAAGCUAGAGUACUGUAGAGGGAAGUGGAAUUUCCGGUGUAGCGGUGAAAUGCGUAGAUAUCGGAAGGAACAUCAGUGGCGAAGGCGACUUUCUGGACAGAUACUGACACUGAGGCACGAAAGCGUGGGGAGCAAACAGG
This 429-nucleotide ribosomal RNA is filed under the name uncultured bacterium. RNAcentral's name for it is "bacterial SSU rRNA". It matches the Rfam family "Bacterial small subunit ribosomal RNA", at positions 355 to 776 of the family's 1533-position model. The record is from RNAcentral.